GCAUAUCAAUAAGCGGAGGAAAAGAAACCAACAGGGAUUGCCCUAGUAACGGCGAGUGAAGCGGCAACAGCUCAAAUUUGAAAUCUGGCUCUCGGGCCCGAGUUGUAAUUUGUAGAGGAUACUUUUGAUGCGGUGCCUUCCGAGUUCCCUGGAACGGGACGCCAUAGAGGGUGAGAGCCCCGUCUGGUUGGAUGCCAAAUCUCUGUAAAGUUCCUUCAACGAGUCGAGUAGUUUGGGAAUGCUGCUCUAAAUGGGAGGUAUAUGUCUUCUAAAGCUAAAUACCGGCCAGAGACCGAUAGCGCACAAGUAGAGUGAUCGAAAGAUGAAAAGCACUUUGAAAAGAGAGUUAAAAAGUACGUGAAAUUGUUGAAAGGGAAGCGUUUAUGACCAGACUUGGGCUUGGUUAAUCAUCUGGGGUUCUCCCCAGUGCACUUUUCCAGUCCAGGCCAGCAUCAGUUUUCCCCGGGGGAUAAAGGCGGCGGGAAUGUGGCUCUCUUCGGGGAGUGUUAUAGCCCACCGUGUAAUACCCUGGGGGGGACUGAGGUUCGCGCAUCUGCAAGGAUGCUGGCGUAAUGGUCAUCAACGACCCGUCUUGAAACACGGACCAAGGAGUCGUCUUCGUAUGCGAGUGUUCGGGUGUCAAACCCCUACGCGUAAUGAAAGUGAACGCAGGUGAGAGCUUCGGCGCAUCAUCGACCGAUCCUGAUGUUCUCGGAUGGAUUUGAGUAAGAGCAUACGGGGCCGGACCCGAAAGAAGGUGAACUAUGCCUGUAUAGGGUGAAGCCAGAGGAAACUCUGGUGGAGGCUCGCAGCGGUUCUGACGUGCAAAUCGAUCGUCAAAUAUGGGCAUGGGGGGCGAAAGACUAAUCGAACCUUCUAGUAGCUGGGUUUCCGCCGAAG
This 900-nucleotide ribosomal RNA is filed under the name Fusarium oxysporum f. sp. narcissi. RNAcentral's name for it is "LSU rRNA". It matches the Rfam family "Eukaryotic large subunit ribosomal RNA", at positions 38 to 966 of the family's 3401-position model. The record is from RNAcentral. Lineage: Eukaryota; Fungi; Ascomycota; Sordariomycetes; Hypocreales; Nectriaceae.